RNAcentral lists this ribosomal RNA (253 nucleotides) under uncultured bacterium. RNAcentral describes it as "partial 16S ribosomal RNA". It matches the Rfam family "Bacterial small subunit ribosomal RNA", at positions 524 to 776 of the family's 1533-position model. The record is from RNAcentral.
UACGUAGGGCGCAAGCGUUGUCCGGAAUUAUUGGGCGUAAAGAGCUCGUAGGCGGCCAGUUGCGUCUGCUGUGAAAUCCCGGGGCUCAACCCCGGGCGUGCAGUGGAUACGGGCUGGCUAGAGGCAGGCAGGGGAGAACGGAAUUCCCGGUGUAGCGGUGAAAUGCGCAGAUAUCGGGAGGAACACCGGUGGCGAAGGCGGGUCUCUGGGCCGAUACUGACGCUGAGGAGCGAAAGCGUGGGGAGCGAACAGG